UGGAUCAAUGAUGAGUAUGCGUGGGGCAUCUGAACCAACUACACUGAUUAAACCCUGUGUGACUCUGAGGUCCAU
RNAcentral lists this small nucleolar RNA (75 nucleotides) under Propithecus coquereli (Coquerel's sifaka). RNAcentral's name for it is "Small nucleolar RNA SNORD113/SNORD114 family (ENSPCOG00000008834.1)". It matches the Rfam family "Small nucleolar RNA SNORD113/SNORD114 family". From Rfam's summary of the family: The imprinted human domain at 14q32 contains two clusters of tandemly repeated small nucleolar RNAs named 14q(I) and 14q(II) snoRNAs. The record is from Rfam by way of RNAcentral. Lineage: Eukaryota; Metazoa; Chordata; Mammalia; Primates; Indriidae.